RNAcentral lists this ribosomal RNA (243 nucleotides) under Escherichia coli. Its description in RNAcentral is "partial 23S ribosomal RNA". It matches the Rfam family "Bacterial large subunit ribosomal RNA", at positions 2700 to 2925 of the family's 2925-position model. Lineage: Bacteria; Pseudomonadati; Pseudomonadota; Gammaproteobacteria; Enterobacterales; Enterobacteriaceae. The record is from RNAcentral.
GACGCAUCACUGGUGUUCGGGUUGUCAUGCCAAUGGCACUGCCCGGUAGCUAAAUGCGGAAGAGAUAAGUGCUGAAAGCAUCUAAGCACGAAACUUGCCCCGAGAUGAGUUCUCCCUGACUCCUUGAGAGUCCUGAAGGAACGUUGAAGACGACGACGUUGAUAGGCCGGGUGUGUAAGCGCAGCGAUGCGUUGAGCUAACCGGUACUAAUGAACCGUGAGGCUUAACCUUACAACGCCGAAG